Molecule: small nuclear RNA, 107 nt
Filed under: Dasypus novemcinctus (nine-banded armadillo)
Lineage: Eukaryota; Metazoa; Chordata; Mammalia; Cingulata; Dasypodidae
Source: RNAcentral
UUGCUUGGUUCUACAGCACAUACACUAAAAUUGGAAAUAUACAGAAAAGAUUAGCAAGGCCUCUGGGCAAGAAUGACACACAGACCCGUGAAGUGUUAUGCUUUCUG